RNAcentral lists this transfer RNA (74 nucleotides) under Nitrosomonas sp. Its description in RNAcentral is "tRNA-Gly". It matches the Rfam family "tRNA". From Rfam's summary of the family: Transfer RNA (tRNA) molecules are approximately 80 nucleotides in length. Their secondary structure includes four short double-helical elements and three loops (D, anti-codon, and T loops). Further hydrogen bonds mediate the characteristic L-shaped molecular structure. tRNAs have two regions of fundamental functional importance: the anti-codon, which is responsible for specific mRNA codon recognition, and the 3' end, to which the tRNAs corresponding amino acid is attached (by aminoacyl-tRNA synthetases). tRNAs cope with the degeneracy of the genetic code in two manners: having more than one tRNA (with a specific anti-codon) for a particular amino acid; and 'wobble' base-pairing, i.e. permitting non-standard base-pairing at the 3rd anti-codon position. Lineage: Bacteria; Pseudomonadati; Pseudomonadota; Betaproteobacteria; Nitrosomonadales; Nitrosomonadaceae. The record is from RNAcentral.
GCGGAGUUCGUAUAUUGGUAUUAUGAGUGGUUUCCAACCACUAGAAGUCGGUUCAAUUCCGGCCCUCCGCUCCA